Molecule: small RNA, 806 nt
Filed under: Pan troglodytes (chimpanzee)
Lineage: Eukaryota; Metazoa; Chordata; Mammalia; Primates; Hominidae
Description: sense overlapping
Source: RNAcentral
ACAGGCUGCCGUCAGAUUCUCAAGCCCCUAUUCCUCUCGGUGGCCUAAAUCCCCAACUGCUCGGGGCCACUUUUCAGGCCAAAAUGGGCCCAAAAUGGGGAGGGCAAGUGAUGAAUGUCACUAGACAGUCGGGCCCUCAAGGACCUGGCAAAUGGGGGCUUGGACCUCGGAUCGGCCUCCCACGCGAAGCUUGCUCCCCACCAGCAUCCCCACGUUGGUGGCGACGCUGCCCCGGCCCCACGGAUACUUCCGCGCCUGUCAGACUCCCUGAUGAACUACCCUUCCCAGAGUACCGCGGGAGCUCGGGCUCCUAAGGGCGACGGUCCUCUGAUGGCAGAUGCGGGAGAAACUCUGGCGUCAGGCGGCCCUCGCGUGGAGCACACGAAGUCGUGGCUUAUUCUGGCUUCAGUAUGUGGGGUGGAGAAGGCGAUCCACGCAGCUGCGUCUAUUUCCUGUGGAUCAAUCGCAGAAUACGUUCUGUAAGCCCCGCCCCCACUGCGUGCGGGCGGCUUUUGUCUCCACGGCAACCGUCAACUCUGGAAACGCCUGUCUUUCUCCAUGGCAACUGUCUACGCCGCAGGCUGGAGCCGCCCAUUACCGGAGCCCAUAUGGCAAUGACCCUUGGCCAGUCUCUGGGAACUAAACUCCUGGGAUGUUUACACAGGUGCUGGGUAAGAUGUUCUUCCAUAUGCUCAAGACCACGGGUCAAGAUGUACUAGGCUGUCAGCAUUGUUGACUGUAAAUAUGAAGAUGCAUGAUGGGCAUCUGGUACCUGGAUUGGAGUUCUCACUCUGUUCAUGUAGCAG